UUAUAUUAAUAUAAAAGUAAUUAUGCUAGAACUAGUAACAAGAAAUUGAAUUUCUCCUAAAUGUAAGCAUAAGCCAUUACGGACCAUCCACUGGCACUUAACGUCUUUGUAACUACCAUAACAGCACUACUCAAGAAGACCCUAUUAUACUUCAACGUUAACCUUACACCAGAACAUUCCAGGAAAGAUUAAAAAAGAGAGAAGGAACUCGGCAAAUUUUAGCCCCGCCUGUUUACCAAAAACAUCGCCUCUUGACAUAAUAUAAGAGGCCCAGCCUGCCCGGUGACAAAGUUUAACGGCUACGGUACCCUGACCGUACGAAGGUAGCAUAAUCACUUGUUCCUUAAAUAGGGACUUGUAUCAACGGCAUCACGAGGGCUGCACUGUCUCCUCCCUUCAAUCAGUGAAACUGAUCCCCCCGUGAAGAAGCGGGGAUUAGACCAUAAGACGAGAAGACCCCAUGGAGCUUUAAACACGUACUCACACUAUACUUACACGUCCCUUAACUAAAAGCCCUGAGUACAAGUUUUAGGUUGGGGAGACCGCGGAGAACAACUAAACCUCCACAACAGAUGGCCCUUAAGCCCUUAUCCGCGAGCUACACCUCUAAGAAUCAACAUACUGAUGAUUAUGACCCGAUACUAUUCGAUUAAUGAACCAAGUUACCCUGGGGAUAACAGCGCAAUCUACUUCAAGAGCCCAUAUCGACAAGUAGGUUUACGACCUCGAUGUUGG
This is a ribosomal RNA of 735 nucleotides. It matches the Rfam family "Bacterial large subunit ribosomal RNA", at positions 1272 to 2535 of the family's 2925-position model.